Molecule: unclassified non-coding RNA, 218 nt
Filed under: uncultured fungus
Lineage: Eukaryota; Fungi
Description: sequence contains ITS1
Source: RNAcentral
GUAUUAAUAUUUAUUAAGCUUGUUUGAAAAACAAGCUUAUGACAUUCUUUUUUAAAGCAAGGGGUGUAUUAAAAACAUAGACUGAUUUCUUGCGAAGUCAACCUACAAAGGUGCACAGGUGUUAGAAAUUUGGAACGAGGUGUGCACAUAUCUAAAAGAUCAGCGACAACCCCUUCAAAAAUUCAAUAAUGAUCCUUCCGCAGGUUCACCUACGGAAA